AGUGAACGCUGGCGGCAGGCCUAACACAUGCAAGUCGAGCGGCAGCGCGGGGGCAACCCUGGCGGCGAGCGGCGGACGGGUGAGGAAUUCGUCGGAAUCUGCCUUUUUGUGGGGGAUAACGUAGGGAAACUUACGCUAAUACCGCAUACGUCCUACGGGAGAAAGUGGGGGACCGCAAGGCCUCACGCAGAAAGAUGAGCCGACGACCGAUUAGCUAGUUGGUGGGGUAAAGGCCCACCAAGGCGACGAUCGGUAGCUGGUCUGAGAGGAUGAUCAGCCACACUGGGACUGAGACACGGCCCAGACUCCUACGGGAGGCAGCAGUGGGGAAUAUUGGACAAUGGGCGCAAGCCUGAUCCAGCCAUGCCGCGUGUGUGAAGAAGGCCUUCGGGUUGUAAAGCACUUUUGUCCGGAAAGAAAUCCCUGGAGCUAAUACCUUCGGGGGAUGACGGUACCGGAAGAAUAAACACCGGCUAACUUCGU
Molecule: ribosomal RNA, 483 nt
Filed under: uncultured bacterium
Lineage: Bacteria
Description: partial 16S ribosomal RNA
Rfam family: Bacterial small subunit ribosomal RNA
Source: RNAcentral